GUGCACCAGGCGAGAAUCCUUCGCAAUGCGGGAAACCGCGACGAGGGGACUCCCAGUGCCUACGCUCAGCGUAGGCUGUUCCCGAGCCUAGAAAGCUCGGGGAGUAAGGGCUGGGUAAGACGGGUGCCAGCCGCCGCGGUAAUACCCGCAGCCCGAGUGGUGGCCACUAUUAUUGGGCCUAAAGCGUCCGUAGCCGGCCCGGUAAAUGCCUGGGUAAAUCGUGAGGCCUAACCUCACGAAUUCCGGGUAGACUGCCGGGCUAGGGACCGGAGGAGGGAGAGGGUACUCCAGGGGUAGGGGUGAAAUCCUGUAAUCCCUGGAGGACCACCGGUGGCGAAGGCGCUCUCCUAGGACGGGUCCGACGGUGAGGGACGAAAGCCAGGGGAGCGAACCGGAUUAGAUACCCCCGUAGU
RNAcentral lists this ribosomal RNA (413 nucleotides) under uncultured microorganism. Its description in RNAcentral is "bacterial SSU rRNA". It matches the Rfam family "Archaeal small subunit ribosomal RNA", at positions 330 to 745 of the family's 1478-position model. The record is from RNAcentral.